RNAcentral lists this ribosomal RNA (559 nucleotides) under uncultured beta proteobacterium. Its description in RNAcentral is "bacterial SSU rRNA". It matches the Rfam family "Bacterial small subunit ribosomal RNA", at positions 771 to 1336 of the family's 1533-position model. The record is from RNAcentral. Lineage: Bacteria; Pseudomonadati; Pseudomonadota; Betaproteobacteria.
AACCGGAUUAGAUACCCUGGUAGUCCACGCCCUAAACGAUGUCUACUAGUUGUCGGGUCUUAAUUGACUUGGUAACGCAGCUAACGCGUGAAGUAGACCGCCUGGGGAGUACGGUCGCAAGAUUAAAACUCAAAGGAAUUGACGGGGACCCGCACAAGCGGUGGAUGAUGUGGAUUAAUUCGAUGCAACGCGAAAAACCUUACCUACCCUUGACAUGGUCGGAAUCCCGCUGAGAGGUGGGAGUGCUCGAAAGAGAGCCGAUACACAGGUGCUGCAUGGCUGUCGUCAGCUCGUGUCGUGAGAUGUUGGGUUAAGUCCCGCAACGAGCGCAACCCUUGUCAUUAGUUGCUACGAAAGGGCACUCUAAUGAGACUGCCGGUGACAAACCGGAGGAAGGUGGGGACGACGUCAAGUCCUCAUGGCCCUUAUUGGUAGGGCUUCACACGUCAUACAAUGGUACAUACAGAGGGCCGCCAACCCGCGAGGGGGAGCUAAUCCCAGAAAGUGUAUCGUAGUCCGGAUUGUAGUCUGCAACUCGACUACAUGAAGUGGAAUCGCU